Long non-coding RNA from Acanthochromis polyacanthus (spiny chromis), 494 nucleotides. RefSeq lists it as uncharacterized. The transcript is spliced from 3 exons. Lineage: Eukaryota; Metazoa; Chordata; Actinopteri; Pomacentridae. The record is from RefSeq and is a predicted model, not a curated record.
CGUAGCCCACUGUUUUCAGGGGUUCAAGAAAAUUCCUCAUUAUGGUAUUGUGCUAUCACAUUUUCAUUGGUUAUACAUUCAUAAGUUUAGGUAUUUUUAUGAGAUACCCAUGCAAAAUCUGUGUCAUAUUUUGGGCUUUAUUUUCACAGAGACAGAAUGUCAAAAAGGAAGAAAAGGAUACAGCCUGUUGAUGAUGCAACAUCAUAUAUUCUGUCUUCAAGGGACAAGCCGGGAUUUAUGGAAAGAUUUAUUAAUAGUUACAAAGGCAGAGGAGUGUUUGUGACCCAGCCCAUUGAACCAGGAGCUUUCCUCUUGGAAUACAGAGGUGAACUCAUAUCAGUUGAAGAAUGCCGGUCCAGACACUACUCCGAGAAAGAGAGUACAUUUCUGUUUGAAUUUGAAUGGCAAAAACAUCGCUGGUGCAUUGAUGCAUCAAAAGAAGAUGGCUCUCUUGGAAGAUUAGUGAAUGACAACCAUAAAUCUCCAAACUGCAU